CGGUGAGUGAAGAAGGCUUCGGGUUGUAAAGCUCUUUCGGCAGGAACGAAAUGGUUCGUGCUAAUACCACGGACUGAUGACGGUACCUGAAGAAGAAGCACCGGCUAACUACGUGCCAGCAGCCGCGGUAAUACGUAGGGUGCAGGCGUUAAUCGGAAUUACUGGGCGUAAAGCGUGCGCAGGCGGUUUCUUAAGUCAGAUGUGAAAGCCCCGGGCUUAACCUGGGAACUGCGUUUGAAACUGGGAGACUUGAGUGUGGCAGAGGGGGGUGGAAUUCCACGUGUAGCAGUGAAAUGCGUAGAUAUGUGGAGGAACACCGAUGGCGAAGGCAGCCCCCUGGGCUAACACUGACGCUCAUGCACGAAAGCGUGGGGAGCAAACAGGAUUAGAUACCCUGGUAGUCCACGCCCUAAACUAUGUCAACUGGUUGUCGGGGGAUUAACUCCCUUGGUAACGAAGCUAACGCGUGAAGUUGACCGCCUGGGGAGUACGGCCGCAAGGUUAAAACUCAAAGGAAUUGACGGGGACCCGCACAAGCGGUGGAUUAUGUGGAUUAAUUCCGAUGCAACGCGAAUAAACUUACCUACCCUUGACAUGUACGGAAUCCUUCAGAGAUG
Molecule: ribosomal RNA, 617 nt
Filed under: uncultured bacterium
Lineage: Bacteria
Description: bacterial SSU rRNA
Rfam family: Bacterial small subunit ribosomal RNA
Source: RNAcentral